Ceratitis capitata (Mediterranean fruit fly) is the source of this 96-nucleotide small nucleolar RNA. RefSeq annotates it as small nucleolar RNA Me28S-Gm1083. The transcript has a single exon. NCBI's taxonomy places the organism in Eukaryota, Metazoa, Arthropoda, Insecta, Diptera, Tephritidae. The record is from RefSeq and is a predicted model, not a curated record.
UUUUACGUGAUGAACGAAUAACUUUCGCCCCUAACUGAAAUAUAAAUUUCAUGUUGAAUGCGAAUUGAUUGGUCUUACUGAUUUUAUUAAAAACUA